CAAGUAGUGAGGAAGGCGGGGAUGACGUCAAUCAGCACGGCCCUUACGUCCAGGGCUACACACGUGCUACAAUGGCCGAUACAGAGGGCAGCUACCUGGUGACAGGAUGCAAAUCUCCAAAGUCGGUCUCAGUUCGGAUCGGAGUCUGCAACCCGACUCCGUGAAGUUGGAUUCGCUAGUAAUCGCGCAUCAGCCAUGGCGCGGUGAAUACGUUCCCGGGCCUU
Molecule: ribosomal RNA, 224 nt
Filed under: uncultured Sphingobacteriales bacterium
Lineage: Bacteria; Pseudomonadati; Bacteroidota; Sphingobacteriia; Sphingobacteriales
Description: partial 16S ribosomal RNA
Rfam family: Bacterial small subunit ribosomal RNA
Source: RNAcentral